Molecule: ribosomal RNA, 492 nt
Filed under: uncultured bacterium
Lineage: Bacteria
Description: partial 16S ribosomal RNA
Rfam family: Bacterial small subunit ribosomal RNA
Source: RNAcentral
AGUGAACGCUGGCGGUAGGCCUAACACAUGCAAGUCGAACGGCAGCACAGUAAGAGCUUGCUCUUACGGGUGGCGAGUGGCGGACGGGUGAGGAAUACAUCGGAAUCUACUUUUUCGUGGGGGAUAACGUAGGGAAACUUACGCUAAUACCGCAUACGACCUACGGGUGAAAGCAGGGGAUCUUCGGACCUUGCGCGAUUGAAUGAGCCGAUGUCGGAUUAGCUAGUUGGCGGGGUAAGGGCCCACCAAGGCGACGAUCCGUAGCUGGGCUGAGAGGAUGAUCAGCCACACUGGAACUGAGACACGGUCCAGACUCCUACGGGAGGCAGCAGUGGGGAAUAUUGGACAAUGGGCGCAAGCCUGAUCCAGCCAUACCGCGUGGGUGAAGAAGGCCUUCGGGUUGUAAAGCCCUUUUGUUGGGAAAGAAAAGCAGCAGGUUAAUACCCCGCUGUUCUGACGGUACCCAAAGAAUAAGCACCGGCUAACUUCGUG